GACAUGUCUGCGGGAGAGACUGAAUCGCACAAGUAUGCGGUCAGCGCCGAAGGAGCAACUGCCCCGGAAACUCUCAGGCAAAAGGACCGCUGACAUGAA
RNAcentral lists this non-coding RNA (99 nucleotides) under Marinobacter sp. RNAcentral's name for it is "Glycine sequence". It matches the Rfam family "Glycine riboswitch aptamer". From Rfam's summary of the family: This family represents the bacterial glycine riboswitch. Glycine riboswitches usually consist of two metabolite-binding aptamers domains with similar structures in tandem. The aptamers cooperatively bind glycine to regulate the expression of downstream genes. Lineage: Bacteria; Pseudomonadati; Pseudomonadota; Gammaproteobacteria; Pseudomonadales; Marinobacteraceae. The record is from RNAcentral.